This 253-nucleotide ribosomal RNA is filed under the name uncultured bacterium. RNAcentral's name for it is "partial 16S ribosomal RNA". It matches the Rfam family "Bacterial small subunit ribosomal RNA", at positions 524 to 776 of the family's 1533-position model. The record is from RNAcentral.
UACAGAGGUGGCGAGCGUUAUUCGGAAUUAUUGGGCGUAAAGGGCGCGUAGGCGGCUUGACAAGUCCCGGGUGAAAUCCCUCGGCUCAACCGAGGAACUGCCUUGGAAACUGUCUGGCUUGAGGCCGGGAGAGGGUAGUGGAAUUCCCAGUGUAGCGGUGAAGUGCGUAGAUACUGGGAGGAACACCGGUGGCGAAGGCGGCUACCUGGACCGGUUCUGACGCUGAGGCGCGAAAGCGUGGGUAGCAAACAGG